CCUACGGGAGGCAGCAGUGGGGAAUAUUGGACAAUGGGCGCAAGCCUGAUCCAGCCAUACCGCGUGUGUGAAGAAGGCCUUUUGGUUGUAAAGCACUUUAAGCGAGGAGGAGGCUCUUGAGGAUAAUACCCUUGAUGAGUGGACGUUACUCGCAGAAUAAGCACCGGCUAACUCUGUGCCAGCAGCCGCGGUAAUACAGAGGGUGCGAGCGUUAAUCGGAAUUACUGGGCGUAAAGCGCGCGUAGGCGGCUUGUUAAGUCGGAUGUGAAAUCCCCGGGCUCAACCUGGGCACUGCAUUCGAUACUGGCAAGCUAGAGUAUGGGAGAGGAAGGUAGAAUUCCAGGUGUAGCGGUGAAAUGCGUAGAGAUCUGGAGGAAUACCGAUGGCGAAGGCAGCCUUCUGGCCUAAUACUGACGCUGAGGUGCGAAAGCAUGGGGAGCAAACAGGAUUAGAUACCCUGGUAGUCCAUGCCGUAAACGAUGUCAACUAGCCGUUGGGGACCUUGAGUCUUUAGUGGCGCGAGCGUAACGUCGAGUUAAGUUAGUACCGCCGUUGGGUAGGUUACGGUUCGGCGAGACGUUAAAACGUUAAAGUUAAGUUAGUUAGGACGNGAGAGAGCGACGGACGGACGACGACGGAGGAGGUAG
RNAcentral lists this ribosomal RNA (647 nucleotides) under uncultured bacterium. RNAcentral's name for it is "bacterial SSU rRNA". The stretch from base 1 to 551 matches the Rfam family "Bacterial small subunit ribosomal RNA", at positions 338 to 873 of the family's 1533-position model. The record is from RNAcentral.